Non-coding RNA from Biomphalaria pfeifferi, 550 nucleotides. NCBI's taxonomy places the organism in Eukaryota, Metazoa, Mollusca, Gastropoda, Planorbidae. The record is from the annotation of a GenBank genome assembly.
UCUUUCUCUCCGUAAUUAUUUUCUAUGUUGCAAUGGAAUUAUUAAUUUUGCACAUGUGUAUUUCACUACCCUGUUAUGAUUAAACUUCAAUUUUUUUUGUUUAUUAUCAGAAAAUGUUUUUUUUUUUUUUUUUUGGUCUAGAAUUAAAGAGGAUUGCAUGCUCUUUUUACACAAUGCAAAUUAAUGUUCACAAAACCAAAAAUAAAUUUAAUGAAGUCAAAUUGAUAUUUGUAUCGUCAAUUAGGAGAGAAAGAGUUAAGCUUACAGUAUUGUAAUAUUAAAAAGAAGCAACAAACCUAAUGAUAUAUAUAGGAACUAGCGACAGUAAAUUAUAUAAACGUUACCACUGCAAGUUGCAAAGAACUAUUUAAAGAAAUACAAUAAACAAGAAAUCCUCCUGGAUUAAAAUUGGUCCCAUGUAACCUUCUUCAGUUACCAACCAGUAAAGACAACUAAGUCAGUGUGACCCAAUAUCUUUAGUUAUUGUAUUUCUCCAGUUGUAUUGCUUUAGACUGGUCAAUACAGUGACAUUUUCACAGCUCUCAUAGGG